UGGCGGCAGUAGCGCGGUGGUCCCACCUGACCCCAUACCGAACUCAGAAGUGAAACGCCGUAGCGCCGAUGGUAGUGUGGGGUCUCCCCAUGCGAGAGUAGGGAACUGCCAGGCA
RNAcentral lists this ribosomal RNA (115 nucleotides) under Escherichia coli. Lineage: Bacteria; Pseudomonadati; Pseudomonadota; Gammaproteobacteria; Enterobacterales; Enterobacteriaceae. The record is from RNAcentral.